Molecule: ribosomal RNA, 468 nt
Filed under: uncultured bacterium
Lineage: Bacteria
Description: partial 16S ribosomal RNA
Rfam family: Bacterial small subunit ribosomal RNA
Source: RNAcentral
GACGAACGCUGGCGGCGUGCUUAACACAUGCCAGUCGAACGGAAAGGCCCUGCUUUUGUGGGGUGCUCGAGUGGCGAACGGGUGAGUAACACGUGAGUAACCUGCCCUUGACUUUGGGAUAACUUCAGGAAACUGGGGCUAAUACCGGAUAGGAGCUCCUGCUGCAUGGUGGGGGUUGGAAAGUUUCGGCGGUUGGGGAUUGACUCGCGGCUUAUCAGCUUGUUGGUGGGGUAGUGGCUUACCAAGGCUUUGACGGGUAGCCGGCCUGAGAGGGUGACCGGCCACAUUAGGACUGAGAUACGGCCCAGACUCCUACGGGAGGCAGCAGUGGGGAAUAUUGCACAAUGGGCGGAAGCCUGAUGCAGCAACGCCGCGUGCGGGAUGACGGCCUUCGGGUUGUAAACCGCUUUCGCCUGUAACGAAGCGUGAGUGACGGUAAUGGGUAAAGAAGCACCGGCUAACUACGUG